UGGGAAUGGUUUACCUUUAGUCUCCGAA
RNAcentral lists this non-coding RNA (28 nucleotides) under Rattus norvegicus (Norway rat). Lineage: Eukaryota; Metazoa; Chordata; Mammalia; Rodentia; Muridae. The record is from RNAcentral.